Molecule: microRNA precursor, 80 nt
Filed under: Tursiops truncatus (common bottlenose dolphin)
Lineage: Eukaryota; Metazoa; Chordata; Mammalia; Artiodactyla; Delphinidae
Description: miRNA (ENSTTRG00000024633.1)
Source: RNAcentral
UUGGGUUGGCCAAAAAGUUCAUUUGGGUUUUUCUGUAACAUCUUAUGGAAAACCCAAAUGAACUUUUUGCUCAACCCAAU